CCGGGUCUCCUGCAUUGAAGGGAGACCGUCUGAGCCACCAGAGACUCAUGAUACCUGUCAUCAUUUUCAUGUGCUUAUUUACCACCUGAAUAUCUUCUUUGGGAGAAGAUGGUGUCAGUCACCAGUGUUACUACCAUUCAGAUGCAAACACAGAGGCAAGAAUGAAGCUCAAGGAGGAUAAACGAGCACAAGAUUUUCCUUUUGGAGGAAGGGAGGGUAAAGGGUGAGAUCUUCAGAAAAGAGGUGAUGUUGGUGGUUGUCUUACGACAAAUGGACAGAGAAGAUAGCAUGGAGUCCAGUGUUCACAAAGACAUGGAAGUGCAUAGUGUGGAGACAACCAAGAAUGUGUUGGGGGACAAGUGGCUGGAGAUGAUGCUCACCAGGAAGGAGAUCCUCCUGACGAACUGACCAUCACUCUGAGGAAUCCUGGGGUUUCACUGUGUAAGCCAUGGGGAGAAACAUUGCUGAGGCUCUUCAGAAUGAAUGAAUGGAUAAAAGAACGAAUGGGUGAAAUUAAU
Long non-coding RNA from Capra hircus (goat), 518 nucleotides. RefSeq lists it as uncharacterized. The record is from RefSeq and is a predicted model, not a curated record. The transcript has 3 exons. NCBI's taxonomy places the organism in Eukaryota, Metazoa, Chordata, Mammalia, Artiodactyla, Bovidae.